RNAcentral lists this ribosomal RNA (404 nucleotides) under Actinomycetes bacterium. RNAcentral describes it as "Actinobacteria bacterium partial 16S ribosomal RNA". It matches the Rfam family "Bacterial small subunit ribosomal RNA", at positions 355 to 776 of the family's 1533-position model. The record is from RNAcentral. Lineage: Bacteria; Bacillati; Actinomycetota; Actinomycetes.
UGGGGAAUAUUGGACAAUGGGCGCAAGCCUGAUCCAGCCAUGCCGCGUGAGUGAUGAAGGCCCUAGGGUUGUAAAGCUCUUUCACCGGUGAAGAUAAUGACGGUAACCGGAGAAGAAGCCCCGGCUAACUUCGUGCCAGCAGCCGCGGUAAUACGAAGGGGGCUAGCGUUGUUCGGAUUUACUGGGCGUAAAGCGCACGUAGGCGGACUUUUAAGUCAGGGGUGAAAUCCCGGGGCUCAACCCCGGAACUGCCUUUGAUACUGGAAGUCUUGAGUAGGGUAGAGAUGAGUGGAAUUCCGAGUGUAGAGGUGAAAUACGUAGAUAUUCGGAGGAACACCAGUGGCGAAGGCGGCUCACUGGACCAUUACUGACGCUGAGGUGCGAAAGCGUGGGGAGCAAACAGG